This is a transfer RNA of 72 nucleotides. It matches the Rfam family "tRNA". Rfam says of the family: Transfer RNA (tRNA) molecules are approximately 80 nucleotides in length. Their secondary structure includes four short double-helical elements and three loops (D, anti-codon, and T loops). Further hydrogen bonds mediate the characteristic L-shaped molecular structure. tRNAs have two regions of fundamental functional importance: the anti-codon, which is responsible for specific mRNA codon recognition, and the 3' end, to which the tRNAs corresponding amino acid is attached (by aminoacyl-tRNA synthetases). tRNAs cope with the degeneracy of the genetic code in two manners: having more than one tRNA (with a specific anti-codon) for a particular amino acid; and 'wobble' base-pairing, i.e. permitting non-standard base-pairing at the 3rd anti-codon position. The record is from Rfam.
GCGGAAGUAGUUCAGUGGUAGAACAUCACCUUGCCAAGGUGGGGGUCGCGGGUUCGAAUCCCGUCUUCCGCU